CCUACGGGAGGCAGCAGUGAGGAAUAUUGGUCAAUGGCCGAGAGGCUGAACCAGCCAAGUCGCGUGAAGGAUGACUGCCCUACGGGUUGUAAACUUCUUUUGUCAAGGAAUAAAAAGAGGCACGCGUGCCUGUUCGCGUGUACUUGAAGAAAAAGGAUCGGCUAACUCCGUGCCAGCAGCCGCGGUAAUACGGAGGAUGCGAGCGUUAUCCGGAUUUAUGGGGUUUAAAGGGUGCGUAGGCGGAUGUUAAAGUCAGCGGUAAAAGUGGGGGGCUCAACGUCGACUCGCCGUUGAAACUGGGUGUCUUGAGUGGAGGAGAGGUAGGCGGAAUGCGUGGUGUAGCGGUGAAAUGCAUAGAUAUCACGAAGAACCCCGAUUGCGAAGGCAGCGUACCGGCGGCGAACUGACGCUGAUGCACGAAAGCGUGGGUAUCGAACAGGAUUAGAUACCCUAGUAGUC
This 459-nucleotide ribosomal RNA is filed under the name uncultured bacterium. RNAcentral's name for it is "partial 16S ribosomal RNA". It matches the Rfam family "Bacterial small subunit ribosomal RNA", at positions 338 to 795 of the family's 1533-position model. The record is from RNAcentral.